Molecule: ribosomal RNA, 467 nt
Filed under: uncultured bacterium
Lineage: Bacteria
Description: partial 16S ribosomal RNA
Rfam family: Bacterial small subunit ribosomal RNA
Source: RNAcentral
GAUGAACGCUGACAGAAUGCUUAACACAUGCAAGUCAACUUGAAUUUGGGUUUUUAACUUAGGUUUGGGUGGCGGACGGGUGAGUAACGCGUAAAGAACUUGCCUCACAGCUAGGGACAACAUUUGGAAACGAAUGCUAAUACCUAAUAUUAUGAUAAUAGGGCAUCCUAUAAUUAUGAAAGCUAUAAGCGCUGUGAGAGAGCUUUGCGUCCCAUUAGCUAGUUGGAGAGGUAACGGCUCACCAAGGCGAUGAUGGGUAGCCGGCCUGAGAGGGUGAUCGGCCACAAGGGGUCUGAGACACGGCCCUUACUCCUACGGGAGGCAGCAGUGGGGAAUAUUGGACAAUGGACCGAGAGUCUGAUCCAGCAAUUCUGUGUGCACGAUGAAGUUUUUCGGAAUGUAAAGUGCUUUCAGUUGGGAAGAAACAAAUGACGGUACCAACAGAAGAAGUGACGGCUAAAUACGUG